UUUCCGUAGGUGAACCUGCGGAAGGAUCAUUCAUAAUAAGUGUUUUACUGCACUUUUUAAAAAUAGUACUCACCUUGUGUGCAAUGUUGUGAUUCUUUUCGGAGAAACACAUACACCAACCUAUAACCUUGAACCACUUUGUCUGAAAAACUAUUAUGAAUACUUAAUUCAAAAUACAACUUUCAACAACGGAUCUCUUGGCUCUC
This 206-nucleotide unclassified non-coding RNA is filed under the name plant metagenome. RNAcentral's name for it is "partial contains small subunit ribosomal RNA, internal transcribed spacer 1, and 5.8S ribosomal RNA". The record is from RNAcentral.